Anopheles gambiae (African malaria mosquito) is the source of this 758-nucleotide long non-coding RNA. RefSeq lists it as uncharacterized. The record is from RefSeq and is a predicted model, not a curated record. The transcript has 3 exons. Lineage: Eukaryota; Metazoa; Arthropoda; Insecta; Diptera; Culicidae.
AUGGUUAAUACCGAACUAUCUGGUGGUUUGCUUGAUCCCGACGAUACUCCAUUCUUAAUCACCAAGAACAUAUUACGCCAGCUUAUUCGUGAUGAAGUUACUAGCGUAUUCCAGGAACAAAGGGAUAGUUUCAUGGAACCAAUGUUUCGACGCAUGGCCGGAAUGGAAGCGACUUUUGCUUCACUGUAUAAUCAAAUCUCGUCACAGACCAAUCAAACGAAUGUUGAUCCAAAAGUGUUGGAAAAUUUCGAGUUUGAUACCAUCGACAGUGGCGAAGCAUUGACUGAACUUGACGAGCGACUUAAAAACGAUGAUCAGUAUAAAAAUACGUUUGUUGCAUGGGUUCAAAGGUACAUUAACGUGCCAAUAAGUACAAAAAGGAUGUCGAAACUGCUCAAAGCGUUAUUUACACCCAAAUUUCUUUGCCUUCUGACAUGGAGUGGAAGAGGAAAAAGAGCAAUGUACACUUUGUCAAAUUAUAAAGGAAUAAUAGACUUGUUUAAAACUGUAGGAAGUACUGAACUUUCCAAAGUAGGGGACCGUGAAGUUGCAGAUUUCUUCAUCCUUAAAUUGAGAUACGCUACAUACUAUCUAAGCCGGCAGGAAUGCAACCAAACAAAUAGUUGAGGAAUCUUUAAGUUUAAUUGAGGUUUAAAAGCCUUUGACUUUACACUUCAUUGAAUUUCACCUCUUAAUUCAUGUGAUAUCUUAGAACUCUUAUAUAUACAAUACAAUGCAGUACAAAAUAAAUGAAAUCG